This 253-nucleotide ribosomal RNA is filed under the name uncultured bacterium. RNAcentral describes it as "partial 16S ribosomal RNA". It matches the Rfam family "Archaeal small subunit ribosomal RNA", at positions 474 to 727 of the family's 1478-position model. The record is from RNAcentral.
UACCAGCACCCCGAGUGGUCGGGACGUUUAUUGGGCCUAAAGCGUCCGUAGCCGGUUCUACAAGUCUUCCGUUAAAUCCACCUGCUUAACAGAUGGGCUGCGGAAGAUACUAUAGAGCUAGGAGGCGGGAGAGGCAAGCGGUACUCGAUGGGUAGGGGUAAAAUCCGUUGAUCCAUUGAAGACCACCAGUGGCGAAGGCGGCUUGCCAGAACGCGAUCGACGGUGAGGGAUGAAAGCUGGGGGAGCAAACCGG